AUUCUCCUGCCUCAGCCUCUGGAGUAGCUGGGACUACAGUCGCGUGCCACCAACCCAGCUAAUUUUUUUUUUGUAUUUUUAGUAGAGACGGGGUUUCACAGUGUUAGCCAAGAUGGUCUUGACCUCCUGACCUCGUGAUCUGCGCGCCUUGGCUUCCCAAAGUGCUGGGAUUACAGGCGUGAGCCACCGUGCCCUGCCUGGAGCCUUUUCUUUAAUAUAAAAAUAAAUGUUAGUCAAUUUGUUUAAAUAUAAACAUGUGAGCUGCUUGAGCACAGGGACUAUAUCAUAAUGUCUUUUGCUCUCUUACAAAUCAUCAACGAAUGGAUUAUGCUGUUUCCCCCUGUGGUGAGCUGCUGGCUGAGCUACUUAAAAUACCCUUUGUCUACAGCCUCCGUUUCUCUCCUGGCUACGCAAUUGAAAAGCAUGGUGGAGGACUUCUGUUCCCUCCUUCCUAUGUGCCUGUUGUUAUGUCAGAAUUAAGUGAUCAAAUGACUUUCAUGGAGAGGGUAAAAAAUAUGAUCUAUGUGCUUUAUUUUGACUUUUGGUUCCAAAUAUGGGAUAUGAGGAAGUGGGAUCAGUUUUACAGUAAAGUUCUAGGAAAUGGAAGAGUUUGUCCAAAGCUCUGGAGAAAAUGGUGUUGUGGUGUUUUCUCUGGGGUCAAUGGUCAGUAACACAUCAGAAGAAAGGGCCAAUGUAAUUGCAACAGCCCUUGCCAAGAUCCCACAAAAGGUUCUGUGGAGAUUUGAUGGCAAUAAACCAGAUACCUUAGGACUCAAUACUCAGCUUUAUAAGUGGAUACCCCAGAAUGAUCUUCUUGGUCACCCAAAAACCAGAGCUUUUAUAACUCAUGGUGGAGCCAAUGGCAUCUACGAGGCGAUCUACCAUGGAAUCCCUAUGGUUGGCGUUCCAUUGUUUGCAGAUCAACUUGAUAACGUUGCACACAUGAAGGCCAAGGGCGCAGCUGUUAGUUUGGACUUCAACACAAUGUCGAGUACAGACUUACUCAACGCACUGAAGACAGUAAUUAAUGAU
RNAcentral lists this small RNA (1032 nucleotides) under Pongo abelii (Sumatran orangutan). Its description in RNAcentral is "processed transcript". The record is from RNAcentral. Lineage: Eukaryota; Metazoa; Chordata; Mammalia; Primates; Hominidae.